RNAcentral lists this ribosomal RNA (990 nucleotides) under Triticum aestivum (bread wheat). Its description in RNAcentral is "partial small subunit ribosomal RNA". Lineage: Eukaryota; Viridiplantae; Streptophyta; Magnoliopsida; Poales; Poaceae. The record is from RNAcentral.
AUGCUCAUCAACAAGGCGGUGACGGCCGGGAUUUUGGGACCGAUCGGCAGUCAACAACUACCCUUCAGGCUCUCGCUGUAUGCAGACGACGCAAUCUUGUUCAUCAACCCAUGCCGCAAGGAGGUACUGGCACUGGCACAAAUUCUCAAGCUCUUCAGUGAAGCUACGCGCCUACACACCAACUUUGCAAAAUCUUCGGUCUCCACGAUCUGCUGCAAUGGGAUCGACCUCCAACAACUGCUGCAGGACAUGGGCUGCCCCAUCAAAGAAUUUCCCUGCACUUAUCUGGGCAUGCCACUGACGGACAAGAAGCUAAAGAAGAAUGACCUACAGCCGAUCUGCGACAAGCUCAUUGCAAGGAUGAAGGGGUGGAAGCUUGCCUUUCUUUCCCUUGAUGGGCGGCUGGAUCUGGUCAAGACAGUGCUCUCGGCGAUGCCGAUUUUUCAAAUGCUCGCAUUGAUACUACCUGGGUGGCUGGCUAAGCUGAUCGACAAGGAGUUUGGAGGGCUCGACAUCACCAACCUGAUAGCCCAAAGUCACGCCCUACGGAUGAGGUGGAUGUGGCUCUCCUGGAACGACGGCACCAAAGCAUGGCAGGUGCUGGAGUUGCCUAUCGACUCAUCGGUCAGAUCUCUGUUCAACGCGUCUAUUGACUUCCAGCUGGGCAAGGGCAACUGCAUUCUCUUUUGGAAGGAGCCGUGGUAUAAGGGCAUCAAUCUACAGGACACCUUCCCGGUGCUGUUCCAACAUUGCACCAGGAAAAACCUCACCGUUGCGCAGGCCUUGGAGAACAACAGAUGGAUCCGGCACCUAAAAGCCAACCUCUCGGCUCAGGCGACGAGGGAAUUCCUGAAACCGUGGGAGGCAAUCCAAAAUAUUCAAUUAACUCAAGAACCUGACCAUGUCCAAUGGAAAUGGACAGCAGACGCCGUGUACACGGCGAGAUCGGCAUACAAGAUUCAGUUUGAGGGCUGCACUCGGCCAUCUUGA